Molecule: non-coding RNA, 23 nt
Filed under: Cricetulus griseus (Chinese hamster)
Lineage: Eukaryota; Metazoa; Chordata; Mammalia; Rodentia; Cricetidae
Source: RNAcentral
UGAAAGGAAGGACUAUGGAGCGU